Molecule: ribosomal RNA, 463 nt
Filed under: uncultured bacterium
Lineage: Bacteria
Description: partial 16S ribosomal RNA
Rfam family: Bacterial small subunit ribosomal RNA
Source: RNAcentral
GACGAACGCUGGCGGCGUGCUUAACACAUGCAAGUCGAACGGAAAGGCCUUUUCGGAGGUACUCGAGUGGCGAACGGGUGAGUAACACGUGGGUGAUCUGCCCUGCACUCUGGGAUAAGCCUGGGAAGCUGGGUCUAAUACCGGAUAGGACCGCACUUUAGUGUGUGUGGUGGAAAGUUUUUUCGGUGUAGGAUGAGCCCGCGGCCUAUCAGCUUGUUGGUGGGGUAAUGGCCUACCAAGGCGGCGACGGGUAGCCGGACUGAGAGGUUGGUCGGCCACAUUGGGACUGAGAUACGGCCCAGACUCCUACGGGAGGCAGCAGUGGGGAAUAUUGCACAAUGGGCGCAAGCCUGAUGCAGCGACGCCGCGUGGGGGAUGACGGCCUUCGGGUUGUAAACUCCUUUCGCCAGGGACGAAGCGUUUUGUGACGGUACCUGGAGAAGAAGCACCGGCUAACUACGCG